AACUCUUAGCGGUGGAUCACUCGGCUCGUGCGUUGAAGAACGCAGCUACCUGCGAGAAUUAAUGUGAAUUGCAGGACACAUUGAUCAUCGACACUUCGAAUGGACUUGCAGCCCCGGGUUCCUCCCGGGGCUUCGCCUAUCUGAGCGUCG
This 150-nucleotide ribosomal RNA is filed under the name Gopherus agassizii (Agassiz's desert tortoise). RNAcentral describes it as "5.8S ribosomal RNA (ENSGAGG00000002251.1)". It matches the Rfam family "5.8S ribosomal RNA". From Rfam's summary of the family: 5.8S ribosomal RNA (5.8S rRNA) is a component of the large subunit of the eukaryotic ribosome. It is transcribed by RNA polymerase I as part of the 45S precursor that also contains 18S and 28S rRNA. Functionally, it is thought that 5.8S rRNA may be involved in ribosome translocation. The record is from Rfam by way of RNAcentral. Lineage: Eukaryota; Metazoa; Chordata; Testudines; Testudinidae.